This 229-nucleotide ribosomal RNA is filed under the name uncultured bacterium. Its description in RNAcentral is "partial 16S ribosomal RNA". It matches the Rfam family "Bacterial small subunit ribosomal RNA", at positions 524 to 752 of the family's 1533-position model. The record is from RNAcentral.
UACGGAGGGGGCUAGCGUUGUUCGGAAUUACUGGGCGUAAAGCGCACGUAGGCGGCUUUGUAAGUUAGAGGUGAAAGCCCGGGGCUCAACUCCGGAAUUGCCUUUAAGACUGCAUCGCUAGAAUUGUGGAGAGGUAAGUGGAAUUCCGAGUGUAGAGGUGAAAUUCGUAGAUAUUCGGAAGAACACCAGUGGCGAAGGCGACUUACUGGACACAUAUUGACGCUGAGGU